RNAcentral lists this ribosomal RNA (253 nucleotides) under uncultured bacterium. Its description in RNAcentral is "partial 16S ribosomal RNA". It matches the Rfam family "Bacterial small subunit ribosomal RNA", at positions 524 to 776 of the family's 1533-position model. The record is from RNAcentral.
UACGGGGGGGGCAAGCGUUGUUCGGAAUUACUGGGCGUAAAGGGCUCGUAGGUGGCCAACUAAGUCAGACGUGAAAUCCCUCGGCUUAACCGGGGAACUGCGUCUGAUACUGGAUGGCUUGAGUUUGGGAGAGGGAUGCGGAAUUCCAGGUGUAGCGGUGAAAUGCGUAGAUAUCUGGAGGAACACCGGUGGCGAAGGCGGCAUCCUGGAUCAACACUGACGCUGAGGAGCGAAAGCCAGGGGAGCAAACGGG